GAUGAACGCUAGCGAUAGGCCUAACACAUGCAAGUCGAGGGGCAUCACAUGAAGUAGCAAUACGGAUGGUGGCGACCGGCGCACGGGUGAGUAACACGUAUGCAACCUGCCUUCAACAAGGGGAUAACCCGUUGAAAAACGGACUAAUACCCUAUAAUACAGGGGUCCCGCAUGGGGAUAUUUGUUAAAGAUUGAUCGGUUGAAGAUGGGCAUGCGUUCCAUUAGCUGGUUGGUGAGGUAACGGCUCACCAAGGCAACGAUGGAUAGGGGAACUGAGAGGUUUAUCCCCCACACUGGUACUGAGACACGGACCAGACUCCUACGGGAGGCAGCAGUGAGGAAUAUUGGUCAAUGGACGCAAGUCUGAACCAGCCACGUCGCGUGAAGGAAGACGGCCCUACGGGUUGUAAACUUCUUUUAUACGGGAAUAAAGUGCCCCACGCGUGGGGUUUUGCAUGUACCGUAUGAAUAGGAUCGGCUAACUCCGUGCCAGCAGCCGCGG
RNAcentral lists this ribosomal RNA (502 nucleotides) under uncultured bacterium. RNAcentral describes it as "bacterial SSU rRNA". It matches the Rfam family "Bacterial small subunit ribosomal RNA", at positions 28 to 520 of the family's 1533-position model. The record is from RNAcentral.